Molecule: ribosomal RNA, 833 nt
Filed under: aquatic bacterium R1-B15
Lineage: Bacteria
Description: bacterial SSU rRNA
Rfam family: Bacterial small subunit ribosomal RNA
Source: RNAcentral
AGAGUUUGAUCAUGGCUCAGAUUGAACGCUGGCGGAAUGCUUUACACAUGCAAGUCGAACGGUAGAGGGGGCAACCCCUCGAGAGUGGCGAACGGGUGAGUAAUAUAUCGGAACGUGCCCAGUCGUGGGGGAUAACGUAGCGAAAGUUACGCUAAUACCGCAUACGAUCUACGGAUGAAAGCGGGGGAUCGCAAGACCUCGCGCGAUUGGAGCGGCCGAUAUCAGAUUAGGUAGUUGGUGGGGUAAAGGCUCACCAAGCCAACGAUCUGUAGCUGGUCUGAGAGGACGACCAGCCACACUGGAACUGAGACACGGUCCAGACUCCUACGGGAGGCAGCAGUGGGGAAUUUUGGACAAUGGACGCAAGUCUGAUCCAGCCAUUCCGCGUGCAGGAUGAAGGCCCUCGGGUUGUAAACUGCUUUUGUACGGAACGAAAAGGUUUCCAUUAAUACUGGGAGCUCAUGACGGUACCGUAAGAAUAAGCACCGGCUAACUACGUGCCAGCAGCCGCGGUAAUACGUAGGGUGCAAGCGUUAAUCGGAAUUACUGGGCGUAAAGCGUGCGCAGGCGGUUAUGUAAGACAGAGGUGAAAUCCCCGGGCUCAACCUGGGAACGGCCUUUGUGACUGCAUAGCUAGAGUACGGUAGAGGGGGAUGGAAUUCCGCGUGUAGCAGUGAAAUGCGUAGAUAUGCGGAGGAACACCGAUGGCGAAGGCAAUCCCCUGGACCUGUACUGACGCUCAUGCACGAAAGCGUGGGGAGCAAACAGGAUUAGAUACCCUGGUAGUCCACGCCCUAAACGAUGUCAACUGGUUGUUGGGUCUUCACUGACUC